AUUGAACGCUGGCGGCAGGCCUAACACAUGCAAGUCGAACGGUAACAGGAAGCAGCUUGCUGCUUUGCUGACGAGUGGCGGACGGGUGAGUAAUGUCUGGGAAACUGCCCGAUGGAGGGGGAUAACUACUGGAAACGGUAGCUAAUACCGCAUAACGUCGCAAGCCCAAAGAGGGGGACAUUAUGGCCUCUUGCCAUCGUAUGUGCGCAGAUGGGAUUAGCUAGUAGGUGGGGUAACGGCUCACCUAGGCGACGAUCCCUAGCUGGUCUGAGAGGAUGACCAGCCACACUGGAACUGAGACACGGUCCAGACUCCUACGGGAGGCAGCAGUGGGGAAUAUUGCACAAUGGGCGCAAGCCUGAUGCAGCCAUGCCGCGUGUAUGAAGAAGGCCUUCGGGUUGUAAAGUCCUUUCAGCGGGGAGGAAGGGAGUAAAGUUAAUACCUUGGCUCAUUGACGUUACCCGCAGAAGAAGCACCGGCUAACUCCGUG
RNAcentral lists this ribosomal RNA (490 nucleotides) under uncultured bacterium. RNAcentral describes it as "partial 16S ribosomal RNA". It matches the Rfam family "Bacterial small subunit ribosomal RNA", at positions 30 to 507 of the family's 1533-position model. The record is from RNAcentral.